GCGCGAUGUGCUACCCCCCACACGACGAAGGCAUUGAUCACACGGCGCGCUCUGGACUGGAUCCUCACCGAACUCAAAGGUCUAUGUAACAAAGGUAGACGAGCGUCGUUUGACGGUGAACUGUGCUAGCGGGCAGCUUCGUUCUUGCCUGUGAAGGCUUAUCCGGGUUGAGAGAAUUUAAGGCAUCAUCAGAAAAAAGAGAUAUUUGACAGAAAAGACGUCCCCGUGUGGUUGUCGAACUCGUACAUUAUUUCGCGUACAACAGCAAAGAGCCAAACUAUUACACCAUAGACACCGGCGUACCAUGCUACUCUCCACCGUUGGUAUGGUAGGCCGUGAAGUGUUCUAUCAUUUUAAAGAGCUUGUUAUUCUUAUUUAGGCCUACAUCUACAUCUUUAAGAUACACGAAAUACCGCAGCUCAAGCCCAAGCGCAUGGCUCAAGAACGGACUCAAUAGAGAGUUUCUAAGCUGUUCACGGCCAAUUUGGAUCAGACAAUGAUCUAGACAGAGGCUGGCGUUGGUCCACUGCUCUGCCUGCUUUCAAACGUCUGGAUGACUAUAAUCGUUGGCCUCGUGUGUGUGUGUGUGUGUGUGCGUGCGUGUGUUUGUACCUUCGGGCGGCUCUGGAAGAUGCUGUUAUUUCCGAGUGGACGUGACUGCUGAGGAGAGACGUGCCUAGCCGGAUUUGUCGGCUGCCACGAGACCAACACCUCGCCACACCAAAUUGCCUGCCCGGUCUCCGUGAUGUUAAAAUGGUCUUCAGGCGACAGAGCUGAGAGCUGAUCGCCGCUGUGCGAAGCCAACCAACCCCACCCCUACCACACCAGCUCCGCGAGUUGGCUUUUCUCCUAAGCUAUUAUCUCCAGACUCCAAGGACGCUCUGAUAUACAUGAAUCGAACACCCUUAAGGGCAGAGUUUUAGAAUCAGUAUCGAGGAUGUCGAAAUAAUUAUUAUUACCAAUGUGUAGGCGUCUGGAGUCCAGCAAAAUAAACGGAUUAAAAGUCAUUAGACUCAUUAGAACAGGACGAAACUGGAAGAAAACCCCAGGUUUCUGUCAUUAGCCUGUUUUGAUUCUCACCGCAUUGUCUUGAGCCUCGUUCAAGAAAUAAAAACGACAGUCUACUAUAACUGUCAAGGCAUUAGCGUGUACUCUUUGAGCAAUCAAGUGUCAUUUUCUUCAAGCGUAUUACAUUACGUGUAACCACGGGAUAUUCUUCAUUGAGUUUUUCUUUGAGAACUGAACGUUUCUGUGUUUCCAAUGUCUUCACCUCAAAGACAUCCGGUAUCAACUUACAAUGAAAGAACCAUGAGUUAUAAAGCAUAGCUGUAGUAUAGACUAUUGCUUUGAGACCACACUAAUGAAUUACAAGCAGACGUCACAGUUUGGUGCACACUGAGACGUAACCUAUUUUUUAGCAUUUAAAGUGUUCAUUUAUUUUGUUAAGUAGAACUUUUUUUUUCACUUGUAGUUUAGGAAUGGAUUCAUAACAUUUGCUCUUUUUUUCUUUUGUGUUUUUUCCCUUAUAAACGCAGACCAAGCUGCUACUGGUAGUCUCUUUAUGGUAAGCUAAUUAUGCAAUCAAGGGUUCGAAACAUUUUCAAAGGCACUGGUUUCUUAUACGCCUUCUUAUUUGCUUUGCUUUAAUUAAAGGAUACUUCAAAUUCCAAUCGUCCUGCAAGGAAAAGCUGUUGAAAUAAA
RNAcentral lists this long non-coding RNA (1701 nucleotides) under Aplysia californica (California sea hare). Its description in RNAcentral is "uncharacterized LOC106014214, transcript variant X3". The record is from RNAcentral. Lineage: Eukaryota; Metazoa; Mollusca; Gastropoda; Aplysiida; Aplysiidae.